UAGCAGGGAUGUGUUGAAUAUGAUCCUUGACCACAGGUCUUCCUGGCUUUGUGGCUCUGAUUUCUAUUCACACCUUGCUACCUCAUUUCAUUUUUGAAUAUCUCUAAUUAUUAGAAAGUUUUGUUAUAUCAAAGUUAAGGAGGUGACCUUUUUUGUCACUUCCAUUCACUGUACCUAAUUCUAUUCUCUGGGACCUACCAGAACAAAAAAAACUCAUCUCUUUCUCACAUGAUAGCAUUCAAAUACCUGAAGACAACUGUCAUGUCACCACUGAGUUUUGUGUUUUACAUGCCAUGGUUUAGGAAGGAUUGUGAUAAGCUGGAGGGCAUUCAGAAGAUAGCAACCAGAGGAGAAAGUCUAUGAAUCUGAGCUAUUUAAGGAUUAGUUGAAGGAAACAGAUUGAGAUGCUGAAUGUGGAAGAGAGAGGACUGAGGAAGAUAUGAUAGCAAUCAGUAUAGUGCAGUGAUGGUUAACCUUUUAGAGACCACAUGUCAUGACCCCUCCAUCCCCAGAGACUGUGUACUGUGCUGUGCCCCACCCCCAGAGACCUCACACCAUGUAUCACACCUGUACCCCAGAUGGGGAAGGAAGCUCUCCCAUUGGGCUGCUGGACAGAGAGGCAGAUGGACUGAGGACAUUCAUGGAGAGGGGUGUUUACCAGCUCAACUAUAGCACCAAGAACUGAAGAAAAUCGUCAAGAUGUGGUCUGAUUAGGGCAGAGCACAACAGGAUUAUCACCUUCUUAUUCCUAGAAACUAUGCCCCUCAGUAAAUACAAGAGGGUAUUAGCUCUCUUUUAUAGGUUUUUACACUGUUAAUUCCUAUUAAGUUUGCAGUCCGCUAAAAUCUCCACAUCAUUUUCAGACAAAUAGUCAAUAGAUAAAUAGAUGCCUAACAAUCUCUCCCCUAUCUUGCAUUUAAAAAAAAAAAUCCUUGCCUUCUGGCUUAGAAUUUAUACUGAGUGGGUUCCAAAGCAGAAGAGUGGUAAGGUAUAGGCAAUGGGGGUGGGGGGUGG
This 1014-nucleotide long non-coding RNA is filed under the name Monodelphis domestica (gray short-tailed opossum). Its description in RNAcentral is "lncRNA (ENSMODG00000045221.1)". The record is from RNAcentral. Lineage: Eukaryota; Metazoa; Chordata; Mammalia; Didelphimorphia; Didelphidae.